Molecule: long non-coding RNA, 1344 nt
Filed under: Dicentrarchus labrax (European seabass)
Lineage: Eukaryota; Metazoa; Chordata; Actinopteri; Moronidae
Description: lncRNA (ENSDLAG00005032931.1)
Source: RNAcentral
UUAAAGACUUAUUGCAUAACAGAGAUGUAAUAAUUAAUAUGGAGCAGCCCCAGUUGUAGCUGUAGCGCACGCAGCUCCCUCCCCCUUUCCUCUACGUCACAGCUUCCCGGUGCAGCCUUUACGGGUUGCUAUGACGACGGCGUUGCAGCUCGUCUCUAAAGGCAUUCACGGCUUCUGCUUGUUCUGUUUGGGAAAACUCCUGUCGACCACAACAGAGAAAGUAACCACGAUAUCACCAUGAAGUACAUGUGUUAACUAAUGGCGACUUUAAAAGAAGUGGGUCUCACAGCUGUGAAUGGACCAGACAAGGAGCUUCGCACACAGGAGGACGCAGUUAGGGAGCAGCCUUACAAGACAGCAGAGAGGAGACAUGUUGAUGCCCUUCUAGAUAUUAGUGAGGAGGACUUCUUCAAAGAGCUGGAGCCACAUGAGUAUCACUGUUACUCUGGUUGCGAAGAAGUUGUCCGGGGUUGGGCCAGAGUCGCUCCACUGAGCUGCAUACUUUUGACUCAGAAGAGAUACAAGAAACCAAAGCAUAAAGAGGCUGACAGCGCGAUCACUCUGUCCCCUGACCCAACAAUCCCUAAUGCAGACAACUCAGCCAGCAUUGCAGAGCACCACUGUGAGUCUCGUGUGGGAGCAAAUAAGAGCUUUAAGAAAUCCACGCCGUCAAACCAGCACGAAGGAACCUGGAGUAACACUACUGUGGCAGCUCUGCACAAAGCUGCCUCGGAAUGGCCUGUCCUCAAUGCAAUGCAGAAAACCACUUCAAAACUCUCACUGGAAGAAAAGAUAGAGGAGGAAGGGAUGCUCAGAGAGACUUCUUUGCAGAACAGGCCCACUAAGCCUCAGAAACACGGCCAUAGGCCCAAUAAUGCCGUGGUUCCCAUUAAAAACUUCACGUUCUUACCACCAAUUAAAUCACCACACCUGAAUCCUCAGAGAGUCGCUGGCCAGCUCUGCAGUAGCAAGAAGGCUCCAGAAGAAGAAACCAUAGAAGACAACAGUUUCAUGUUUGAUAAGAAGAGUGGGAUGAAGGGAACGAGAGUGGACCCUGUUGUUAACCUAGAGCUUCCCACUUCCACUGCAGGCCUCACCUCCAGGUAUCGGACAUGUCAGCAUAACCCCCACUUGUUCUCUGCUGUAAGUGUUUCUAUCCCCAAGAGGUAUCAGGUGCCUCUGUCUUCCAAACCUGACAUAGUGCACCACACUAGCUUCUCAAUGGGCAAGAGCCUCACACAGGCCCUCCAUUCCGGCAAUGCAGCAGGUGCACAAGCCCGUAUGCACCCCAGCAAGACUGUGUGUGCUGUCAAGAUGUAUGAAGGCUGUGAAAUAAAUGUUUAA